AAAGGUGCGGAGGAGCUGGAGGCCGGCUUCUCCGAGCUUCUCGGAGACAAGAAUGGUGGGUUUGGGAGGGGUAAGGAUUGAAUCACGGAGAGGGGUGGGGUCGGAGAAGGAGAUGGAGGCGGAUUCAACGGCGGUUUUGAGAACGUUGAGAACAGGAGGAGAGGACCUAUUUCUAUAUGGGGCGUAGAGGAGUUUGAAGGAAGCAGAGUUGUUGGAGGGAGUAGGAAGGAAGGAAAGCUUAUUAGUAGGAGUAGGAGAGGAAGGAGGUAAGUCCGAGGAUUGCUGAGUUAUGAGUUUCGUAGAAAUGAAUGCUGCAGCUGCUGCUGUUGCAGAGGAAGCCAUCUCCGUUAUGCGGAGCUGUCUUCU
RNAcentral lists this long non-coding RNA (366 nucleotides) under Coffea arabica (coffee). Its description in RNAcentral is "long non-coding RNA (CARA_LNC003019)". The record is from RNAcentral. Lineage: Eukaryota; Viridiplantae; Streptophyta; Magnoliopsida; Gentianales; Rubiaceae.